UGUGAGCUCGAUGAGUAGGGCGGGACACGUGGUAUCCUGUCUGAAUAUGGGGGGACCAUCCUCCAAGGCUAAAUACUCCUGACUGACCGAUAGUGAACCAGUACCGUGAGGGAAAGGCGAAAAGAACCCCGGCGAGGGGAGUGAAAAAGAACCUGAAACCGUGUACGUACAAGCAGUGGGAGCACGCUUAGGCGUGUGACUGCGUACCUUUUGUAUAAUGGGUCAGCGACUUAUAUUCUGUAGCAAGGUUAACCGAAUAGGGGAGCCGAAGGGAAACCGAGUCUUAACUGGGCGUUAAGUUGCAGGGUAUAGACCCGAAACCCGGUGAUCUAGCCAUGGGCAGGUUGAAGGUUGGGUAACACUAACUGGAGGACCGAACCGACUAAUGUUGAAAAAUUAGCGGAUGACUUGUGGCUGGGGGUGAAAGGCCAAUCAAACCGGGAGAUAGCUGGUUCUCCCCGAAAGCUAUUUAGGUAGCGCCUCGUGAAUUCAUCUCCGGGGGUAGAGCACUGUUUCGGCAAGGGGGUCAUCCCGACUUACCAACCCGAUGCAAACUGCGAAUACCGGAGAAUGUUAUCACGGGAGACACACGGCGGGUGCUAACGUCCGUCGUGAAGAGGGAAACAACCCAGACCGCCAGCUAAGGUCCCAAAGUCAUGGUUAAGUGGGAAACGAUGUGGGAAGGCCCAGACAGCCAGGAUGUUGGCUUAGAAGCAGCCAUCAUUUAAAGAAAGCGUAAUAGCUCACUGGUCGAGUCGGCCUGCGCGGAAGAUGUAACGGGGCUAAACCAUGCACCGAAGCUGCGGCAGCGACGCUGAUGCGUUGUUGGGUAGGGGAGCGUUCUGUAAGCCUGCGAAGGUGUGCUGUGAGGCAUGCUGGAGGUAUCAGAAGUGCGAAUGCUGACAUAAGUAACGAUAAAGCGGGUGAAAAGCCCGCUCGCCGGAAGACCAAGGGUUCCUGUCCAACGUUAAUCGGGGCAGGGUGAGUCGACCCCUAAGGCGAGGCCGAAAGGCGUAGUCGAUGGGAAACAGGUUAAUAUUCCUGUACUUGGUGUUACUGCGAAGGGGGGACGGAGAAGGCUAUGUUGGCCGGGCGACGGUUGUCCCGGUUUAAGCGUGUAGGCUGGUUUUCCAGGCAAAUCCGGAAAAUCAAGGCUGAGGCGUGAUGACGAGGCACUACGGUGCUGAAGCAACAAAUGCCCUGCUUCCAGGAAAAGCCUCUAAGCAUCAGGUAACAUCAAAUCGUACCCCAAACCGACACAGGUGGUCAGGUAGAGAAUACCAAGGCGCUUGAGAGAACUCGGGUGAAGGAACUAGGCAAAAUGGUGCCGUAACUUCGGGAGAAGGCACGCUGAUAUGUAGGUGAAGUCCCUUGCGGAUGGAGCUGAAAUCAGUCGAAGAUACCAGCUGGCUGCAACUGUUUAUUAAAAACACAGCACUGUGCAAACACGAAAGUGGACGUAUACGGUGUGACGCCUGCCCGGUGCCGGAAGGUUAAUUGAUGGGGUCAGCGCAAGCGAAGCUCUUGAUCGAAGCCCCGGUAAACGGCGGCCGUAACUAUAACGGUCCUAAGGUAGCGAAAUUCCUUGUCGGGUAAGUUCCGACCUGCACGAAUGGCGUAAUGAUGGCCAGGCUGUCUCCACCCGAGACUCAGUGAAAUUGAACUCGCUGUGAAGAUGCAGUGUACCCGCGGCAAGACGGAAAGACCCCGUGAACCUUUACUAUAGCUUGACACUGAACAUUGAGCCUUGAUGUGUAGGAUAGGUGGGAGGCUUGGAAGUGUGGACGCCAGUCUGCAUGGAGCCGACCUUGAAAUACCACCCUUUAAUGUUUGAUGUUCUAACGUUGACCCGUAAUCCGGGUUGCGGACAGUGUCUGGUGGGUAGUUUGACUGGGGCGGUCUCCUCCUAAAGAGUAACGGAGGAGCACGAAGGUUGGCUAAUCCUGGUCGGACAUCAGGAGGUUAGUGCAAUGGCAUAAGCCAGCUUGACUGCGAGCGUGACGGCGCGAGCAGGUGCGAAAGCAGGUCAUAGUGAUCCGGUGGUUCUGAAUGGAAGGGCCAUCGCUCAACGGAUAAAAGGUACUCCGGGGAUAACAGGCUGAUACCGCCCAAGAGUUCAUAUCGACGGCGGUGUUUGGCACCUCGAUGUCGGCUCAUCACAUCCUGGGGCUGAAGUAGGUCCCAAGGGUAUGGCUGUUCGCCAUUUAAAGUGGUACGCGAGCUGGGUUUAGAACGUCGUGAGACAGUUCGGUCCCUAUCUGCCGUGGGCGCUGGAGAACUGAGGGGGGCUGCUCCUAGUACGAGAGGACCGGAGUGGACGCAUCACUGGUGUUCGGGUUGUCAUGCCAAUGGCACUGCCCGGUAGCUAAAUGCGGAAGAGAUAAGUGCUGAAAGCAUCUAAGCACGAAACUUGCCCCGAGAUGAGUUCUCCCUGACUCCUUGA
This 2443-nucleotide ribosomal RNA is filed under the name Escherichia coli. Its description in RNAcentral is "bacterial LSU rRNA". It matches the Rfam family "Bacterial large subunit ribosomal RNA", at positions 398 to 2826 of the family's 2925-position model. The record is from RNAcentral. Lineage: Bacteria; Pseudomonadati; Pseudomonadota; Gammaproteobacteria; Enterobacterales; Enterobacteriaceae.